RNAcentral lists this ribosomal RNA (537 nucleotides) under uncultured bacterium. RNAcentral describes it as "partial 16S ribosomal RNA". It matches the Rfam family "Bacterial small subunit ribosomal RNA", at positions 355 to 881 of the family's 1533-position model. The record is from RNAcentral.
UGGGGAAUAUUGGACAAUGGGCGAAAGCCUGAUCCAGCCAUGCCGCGUGUGUGAAGAAGGUCUUCGGAUUGUAAAGCACUUUAAGUUGGGAGGAAGGGCAGUAAGUUAAUACCUUGCUGUUUUGACGUUACCAACAGAAUAAGCACCGGCUAACUUCGUGCCAGCAGCCGCGGUAAUACGAAGGGUGCAAGCGUUAAUCGGAAUUACUGGGCGUAAAGCGCGCGUAGGUGGUUCAGCAAGUUGGAUGUGAAAUCCCCGGGCUCAACCUGGGAACUGCAUCCAAAACUACUGAGCUAGAGUACGGUAGAGGGUGGUGGAAUUUCCUGUGUAGCGGUGAAAUGCGUAGAUAUAGGAAGGAACACCAGUGGCGAAAGGCGACCACCUGGACUGAUACUGACACUGAGGUGCGAAAGCGUGGGGAGCAAAACAGGAUUAGAUACCCUGGUAGUCCACGCCGUAAAACGAUGUCGACUAGCCGUUGGGAUCCUUGAGAUCUUAGUGGCGCAGCUAACGCGAUAAGUCGACCGCCUGGGGAGU